AGGGGCGUAGUUAAACGGUUUAACAUCGGUCUCCAAAACCGUCGAAGAGGGUUCGACUCCUUCCGCCCCUG
This 71-nucleotide transfer RNA is filed under the name Lachnospiraceae bacterium. Its description in RNAcentral is "tRNA-Trp". It matches the Rfam family "tRNA". Rfam says of the family: Transfer RNA (tRNA) molecules are approximately 80 nucleotides in length. Their secondary structure includes four short double-helical elements and three loops (D, anti-codon, and T loops). Further hydrogen bonds mediate the characteristic L-shaped molecular structure. tRNAs have two regions of fundamental functional importance: the anti-codon, which is responsible for specific mRNA codon recognition, and the 3' end, to which the tRNAs corresponding amino acid is attached (by aminoacyl-tRNA synthetases). tRNAs cope with the degeneracy of the genetic code in two manners: having more than one tRNA (with a specific anti-codon) for a particular amino acid; and 'wobble' base-pairing, i.e. permitting non-standard base-pairing at the 3rd anti-codon position. Lineage: Bacteria; Bacillati; Bacillota; Clostridia; Lachnospirales; Lachnospiraceae. The record is from RNAcentral.